CCUGCCUGUAAGACUGGGAUAACUCCGGGAAACCGGAGCUAAUACCGGAUACUAUGUCAAACCGCAUGGUUUGACAUUCAAAGACGGUUUCGGCUGUCACUUACAGAUGGGCCCGCGGCGCAUUAGCUAGUUGGUGAGGUAAUGGCUCACCAAGGCGACGAUGCGUAGCCGACCUGAGAGGGUGAUCGGCCACACUGGGACUGAGACACGGCCCAGACUCCUACGGGAGGCAGCAGUAGGGAAUCUUCCGCAAUGGACGAAAGUCUGACGGAGCAACGCCGCGUGAGUGAUGAAGGUUUUCGGAUCGUAAAACUCUGUUGUCAGGGAAGAACAAGUGCCGGAGUAACUGCCGGCGCCUUGACGGUACCUGACCAGAAAGCCACGGCUAACUACGUGCCAGCAGCCGCGGUAAUACGUAGGUGGCAAGCGUUGUCCGGAAUUAUUGGGCGUAAAGCGCGCGCAGGCGGUUUCUUAAGUCUGAUGUGAAAGCCCCCGGCUCAACCGGGGAGGGUCAUUGGAAACUGGGAAACUUGAGUGCAGAAGAGGAGAGUGGAAUUCCACGUGUAGCGGUGAAAUGCGUAGAGAUGUGGAGGAACACCAGUGGCGAAGGCGACUCUCUGGUCUGUAACUGACGCUGAGGCGCGAAAGCGUGGGGAGCGAACAGGAUUAGAUACCCUGGUAGUCCACGCCGUAAACGAUGAGUGCUAAGUGUUAGAGGGUUUCCGCCCUUUAGUGCUGCAGCUAACGCAUUAAGCACUCCGCCUGGGGAGUACGGUCGCAAGACUGAAACUCAAAGGAAUUGACGGGGGCCCGCACAAGCGGUGGAGCAUGUGGUUUAAUUCGAAGCAACGCGAAGAACCUUACCAGGUCUUGACAUCCUUUGCCACUUCUAGAGAUAGAAGGUUCCCCUUCGGGGGACAAAGUGACAGGUGGUGCAUGGUUGUCGUCA
This 949-nucleotide ribosomal RNA is filed under the name Bacillus sp. (in: firmicutes). RNAcentral describes it as "bacterial SSU rRNA". It matches the Rfam family "Bacterial small subunit ribosomal RNA", at positions 125 to 1057 of the family's 1533-position model. The record is from RNAcentral. Lineage: Bacteria; Bacillati; Bacillota; Bacilli; Caryophanales; Bacillaceae.